AUGAUCUUUAAGGUCCCUUCCAACCUAGAAGAUUCUGUGAUUCUGUAUUUCUUUAUCAGGAAGAAGCUUCUCUCCAAAGGCGUCGUUCUGCGGCACGACAGGCUUUGUCGGGGAAGGCACCCAGUGCCUACGUCCAGCUCUUUCAAAGGGACCUGGCAGUCAGUCCCGCACCAGGCAGCCCCCAUCAACACUUACUGGAACCACCAACCCAAGUUUCUUUGCUCUCAGAUGGAAGAAACAUCACCCAAGACCAGAGCUUCCCCCCGACUAACCCAGGGAGCCGGUGAGUUCAUUUUUCAAGAGAGCAGCUCGUUGAUGGGUGGAAUGAAGGUUGAUGCUGCAAUGUGCAAGAUCUGAAACCAUUUCCCAAGCUGAUGCAGAUGUCUCAUCUGCUACAUCAACAGCCUUGUUACACGUGUGUCACUGCAGCAUCAAAGAAAGUCUUGUAAUUUGUGGGGAUGGUUUCGUUCAGACACCAUAAUUUGUGUUAACAGAAAGGGAAUUUCAAGAGCUUUCUAUCAAGAGGGUGUUUGAAGGGAAAAAGAUGCUGAAAGAAACUUGGUCCAGGUGUAAAAAAACCAGAACUGGAGUGCUAAAUACUGUUUUAGACAAGUUGAUCAGAUAUUGCUAUCAGAAUUAUUCCUCAUUCUCUCUUUAGAGAAUUACCAUAGUUACUGCUGAAUAUCAUUUGGGAGGCUCUGGGUGAUAUCAUGGGCUUCAAAUUCAUAUCUCCUCCGUGAUUAACAGCAGAUCCCAUCCAGGGUACUGAGCUCUGUAGUACCUUCACCUGCUCUUACCCUCUCAGCCAGAGCUGCUUCAUAUCCUGUCCAGCAUCUCUGCUCUUUUCUCAAGUCACAGGUGACAGGACAAGAGGAAAUGGCCUCAAGUUGCGCCAGGGGAGGUUCAGGCUGGAUAUUAGGAAAAAUUUUUUCACUGAAAGGGUUCUCAGGCAUUGGAAUGGGCUGCCCAGGGAGGUGGUUGAGGCACCAUCCCUGGAGGUGUUCAAAAGACGGGUUGAUGUAGUGCUGGGAGGUAUGGUUUAGUGAUGGUGAUGCUUCUUGUUUGUUGUGUGGGUGUCUAUUUUUGUCAGAGUUAGGUUGACGGUUGGACAAGAUGAUCUUUAAGGUCCCUUCCAACCUAGAAGAUUCUGUGAUUCUGUGAGUGAUGAACAUCCUCAUUUAUUGGUACUGCAGCUAAACAGGUUCUGAGAUAAGGGAGGGAGACAAAUCCUAAUGUCAUUUAAAGCUUGUAGAGAGGUGAGGAUAGAAGAAGAUUUGAAGAGGCUACAUCUUCAGUGUCUUUUAGGGCUUCAGCUGUGAAGAAGGCUGUAUCUUCCUGACUUGCUCUGCAGGUCUAC
RNAcentral lists this long non-coding RNA (1357 nucleotides) under Calidris pugnax (ruff). RNAcentral describes it as "lncRNA (ENSCPUG00000015952.1)". Lineage: Eukaryota; Metazoa; Chordata; Aves; Charadriiformes; Scolopacidae. The record is from RNAcentral.